GGAACGACCACACACCAUUCGACGGGCUUCAACGGCGGGUCAGGUCAGGGAGGCCCUCUUCUGGGACCUGUCCCUUUCGGACUACCCAGCUCCGCGGGAUACGGGGCGCCACUCAAGUCGGGAAAGGGAGGCUGGUGGUAAACAGGCAAGCCACCUUUUCCUCAACGUUUUUAACAAGAUUCCAACGCGAUGUUCUGCAGCACAGCCGAGAAUCUGGAGCUUCAUCUGUGCAUCCAUCAGGACAUAACUGUUGGCAAUUGUGAGAAUAUCAUCUAUCUUCAAGGUUCACAACGCUAUCCAGCUUUGGCAAAGCAAAACUACGGUUCUGCUGCACCAGUACAACCAGAAAAACCUUCUACAGACUAGACACACUCCCUACAAAUAUCAAAUGGUAGUGUGCCACUGUCUACAAUUGUUCGUCGUGAGCAGCGCACGCAGACAUCCUUGUGGUGGACGCUGAAAUAUUAUGGCGAAUCUCUACGCGACUUAGAGAAAUUAAGUGCGCUUUACCGUAUGUGCUUGCCCGUGCACUACCAGCACUUGUUUGCACUGUUGGCUCAUAUUGGCAAUGUGCCGUUAUAACACUUUCAGUCAUACAAUAUUUACCAAGGGAGAAAGCAGCAUACCAUGUCAUGUACGAUAAGGCACAUUGAAGAAAUACCGGGAAGUGGCAACUGAGGCAUACAAAGAAGAGGGCGACGAAAUUGCACCUCUACACCACACUUACGCUAAGAGAGACCAGCGAAAUGUUGUUUGGAAGCAAUAAAAGUUUGUUACAGUGUA
Rhipicephalus microplus (southern cattle tick) is the source of this 783-nucleotide long non-coding RNA. NCBI's taxonomy places the organism in Eukaryota, Metazoa, Arthropoda, Arachnida, Ixodida, Ixodidae. The record is from RefSeq and is a predicted model, not a curated record.